UACGUGAGGGGCGAACGUUGUUCGGUGUCACUGGGCUUAAAGGGUGCGUAGGUGGCUUCGUAAGUAAGGAGUGAAAUCCCUCGGCUUACCCGGGGAACUGCUUUUUAUACUGCGAGGCUUGAGGAUCAGAGGGGAAAGAGGAACUCCGAGUGUAGCGGUGAAAUGCGCAGAUAUUCGGGGGAAGGCCGGCGGCGAAGGCGUCUUUCUGGCUGAUUCCUGACACUGAGGCACGAAAGCGUGGGGAGCAAACAGG
Molecule: ribosomal RNA, 253 nt
Filed under: uncultured bacterium
Lineage: Bacteria
Description: partial 16S ribosomal RNA
Rfam family: Bacterial small subunit ribosomal RNA
Source: RNAcentral